AGGACGAACGCUGGCGGCGUGCUUAACACAUGCAAGUCGAGCGGAAAGGCCUUUCGGGGUACUCGAGCGGCGAACGGGUGAGUAACACGUGAGUAAUCUGCCCAUCGCUUCAGGAUAGCCAUCGGAAACGGUGAUUAAUACUGGAUAUGACAUUCCUUCGCAUGUUGGGGUGUGGAAAGUUUUUUCGGCGGUGGAUGUGCUCGCGGCCUAUCAGCUUGUUGGUGGGGUAAUGGCCUACCAAGGCUUUGACGGGUAGCCGGCCUGAGAGGGUGACCGGCCACACUGGGACUGAGACACGGCCCAGACUCCUACGGGAGCAGCAGUGGGGAAUAUUGGACAAUGGGCGGAAGCCUGAUCCAGCAACGCCGCGUGAGGGAUGACGGCC
This 385-nucleotide ribosomal RNA is filed under the name uncultured soil bacterium. RNAcentral's name for it is "bacterial SSU rRNA". It matches the Rfam family "Bacterial small subunit ribosomal RNA", at positions 26 to 416 of the family's 1533-position model. The record is from RNAcentral.